CAAUAGCAAGUACGCGCGUUAGCGAUUGAAACGGCAUCCUUUUUAUGGUAAACUCGUUUCAGUGUUUAUCAUAAAAAAUAAAAACACCUAUAAAUAAGAACAGAUGCUGAAAUAAAAUCAGCAUAAAAAGAUAUAGUGGAAAGCGCGACCCUUG
This 154-nucleotide small RNA is filed under the name Tenacibaculum todarodis. Its description in RNAcentral is "Tenacibaculum sp. LPB0136 Flavo-1 RNA". It matches the Rfam family "Flavo-1 RNA". Lineage: Bacteria; Pseudomonadati; Bacteroidota; Flavobacteriia; Flavobacteriales; Flavobacteriaceae. The record is from Rfam by way of RNAcentral.